CGCGGGGAUCAGGGCGGGUGGUGGGAAGGAAAUGUAGAAAAGUGGCAUAUGGGGACCGGAGAGAAGCGGCGACGGAACGUCCCCGUGCGCCGGCCCUGAGGGUGUCCCAGCGCCCCGGGAAGGAGAGUUCAGAGAACGGAUCCUCCGCUCGGGGCUGCCAUCGGCUCUGCAGUUACUUCCCUGCUCGGUGAAACUCGGGAAGACGGUGCAGCGCAGCGCGGGGACGGACUGCGGGGCCGCCGGGCGGAUCGGGGCUGCGGGAGCGCCCACGGGCGGGGGGGGAUCCGAGCAGCGCCGGGAAGCGAGGGAUUCCUGGAAUCGCAUUGUAUUCGCAUCACUCUUCCGAUAGCAGCCACGCGAGGAGAAAGAAAAAAAAGCGGCAGACACCUGCAGAGCAGAACUGAAGGACAGAUGCACGGGCCACAUUUCAGAGUGCAGCACACACCGCAGCCCAACCUAGGGGUCACACAGCGGUUUCCAUUUCCUCCUGUGCAUCUCUAGAGAGUCCUGCAGAGCUUCCCUUCCUCCCGCGGCACAGACACAGCGCUUUCUGAAGAACUUCCUCAGAAAUGCACAAAGGAUGCCGCGGCCCCACAGCUCCAUCCCCACUUCCAGGCUGACAGCACAGAGCACCGCCUGUACAACGCCCCGGGGGAGGACUCACACCGAUGGCACCCCGGGGAGGCAGCGUUUCAGAAGAACGUAUCACUGCAUUUUCAGCUGCUGGUGGCAUUUCCCUUACUGCAGUCGAUAUUGAUUUCCUCGAGACACCGCUGUGUGAGGACCAAUCCCAGCCCAAUCCCUUUUGUCUCAGAUAAACUCGGAUGAAUGCAGCAUUCGGGUAGGUAUCAUUCUCCCAAAGCACGCCGACCCCAAGGAUUUGGUGACCCCAGAUUUCCUCACUCUCCACCUGACAGCAAACUGCGAUGUUUCAUUUCACUUCAUUUUUGGUGAGAAAUGAGGUAUUUCACAGUCUGAACUGGCUUUGAUGCCUGAUAUCGCUGUCACCGAAUUGCUGCAGUGUAGGAAAAAGGCAGCAAAAAAUACCCAAUGAGACAGCCAAAAUUAACCUUAGUCACCCAAAGUAACGGUGUUUGAGCCAUAAAGCUCUGCACAGCGCAGGUAGCUGUGAUACCCAGGAGCAGCAGCUCCUCAGUGAAGGGCUGACUGCCACUGGGGAAGGAUCUGUGUGUAUGUGGGGGUGGGGGGACUGUUGAGUCAUGGUCUGACCCACUGAUGGAGCACGUGGGGAAAGGACCCGGUCAGCCCUGGGAGCACAGGUGAAGGCAAUUCAGCUGUGUGACUGGAAGGGGUGGAGCCUGACUGCACCCCUCUUAGACCUCAAUGAAGGGCUGACCCCUCCUGGGGAAGGAUCUUUGGUUGGAUGUUCCUCCCUGGUGGAGUCUUUUCUGUGAGCCUCAAUCUCUGGGAAUGGUGAGCACCUUUCCUUUCCCUUUGAAAUACCAUUCCGUCCCCGUUAGUCCCUUUGCUGUUCCGCUCCUGUACUGCCCUUCCACUGUGUUAAUCCUUCUGAUUGUAACAGUGUGUCGUUGCUGUUGGGUGCUUUUGGUAAAAACAGGAUUAAUAUUUAAUGUGCAGUUUUAGGGAUUUUUGUGAGGAUGAAAGAACUUAGUGCCACAGCGGGUUCUUAGCGUGUAACAAUGCUGUGGUUGUUUUUUAACUUCAAAAAGCAAACAUCCAUAAAUAAAUAACGUUUUCCUUCCGACUGGAAGCUGUCCCCGGCACCGCCAGUCCUGGGAGGCACAGCAGGGGGAGCUGGGAGCCUUCUGUCCGGAGGAGGCUCAAGGGAGACCUCAGACGUCCCCCUGAAAGGAGGCUGUAGAGAGGUGGGGGUCGGCCUCUUCUCCCGUGGAACAGCGAUGGGACGAGAGGGAACGGCUUCACGUUGCCCCAGGGGAGGUCCCCGUUGGAUAUUAGGAAGAACACCUCUGCUGAAAGAGCGGUCGGGCACUGGCACAGCCGCCCGGGGAGCUGCGGGAGUCAGCGUCCAUGGAGGUGUUCCAGGACCGUGGGGAUGUGGCACUGAGGGACGCGGGCAGUGGGCA
Molecule: long non-coding RNA, 2066 nt
Filed under: Gallus gallus (chicken)
Lineage: Eukaryota; Metazoa; Chordata; Aves; Galliformes; Phasianidae
Source: RNAcentral